Molecule: ribosomal RNA, 1352 nt
Filed under: uncultured bacterium
Lineage: Bacteria
Description: bacterial SSU rRNA
Rfam family: Bacterial small subunit ribosomal RNA
Source: RNAcentral
AUUGAACGCUUUCGGCAUGCCUUACACAUGCAAGUCGAACGGUAACGGGUCCUUCGGGAUGCCGACGAGUGGCGAACGGGUGAGUAAUAUAUCGGAACGUGCCCAGUAGUGGGGGAUAACUGCUCGAAAGAGCAGCUAAUACCGCAUACGACCUGAGGGUGAAAGGGGGGGAUCGCAAGACCUCUCGCUAUUGGAGCGGCCGAUAUCAGAUUAGCUAGUUGGUGGGGUAAAGGCCUACCAAGGCAACGAUCUGUAGUUGGUCUGAGAGGACGACCAGCCACACUGGGACUGAGACACGGCCCAGACUCCUACGGGAGGCAGCAGUGGGGAAUUUUGGACAAUGGGCGCAAGCCUGAUCCAGCAAUGCCGCGUGCAGGAAGAAGGCCUUCGGGUUGUAAACUGCUUUUGUCAGGGAAGAAAUCUUCUGGGCUAAUACCCCGGGAGGAUGACGGUACCUGAAGAAUAAGCACCGGCUAACUACGUGCCAGCAGCCGCGGUAAUACGUAGGGUGCGAGCGUUAAUCGGAAUUACUGGGCGUAAAGCGUGCGCAGGCGGCUUUGCAAGACAGAUGUGAAAUCCCCGGGCUCAACCUGGGAACUGCAUUUGUGACUGCAAGGCUAGAGUACGGCAGAGGGGGAUGGAAUUCCGCGUGUAGCAGUGAAAUGCGUAGAUAUGCGGAGGAACACCAAUGGCGAAGGCAAUCCCCUGGGCCUGUACUGACGCUCAUGCACGAAAGCGUGGGGAGCAAACAGGAUUAGAUACCCUGGUAGUCCACGCCCUAAACGAUGUCAACUGGUUGUUGGACGGCUUGCUGUUCAGUAACGAAGCUAACGCGUGAAGUUGACCGCCUGGGGAGUACGGCCGCAAGGUUGAAACUCAAAGGGAUUGACGGGGACCCGCACAAGCGGUGGAUGAUGUGGUUUAAUUCGAUGCAACGCGAAAAACCUUACCUACCCUUGACAUGUCAAGAAUUCUGCAGAGAUGUGGAAGUGCUCGAAAGAGAACUUGAACACAGGUGCUGCAUGGCCGUCGUCAGCUCGUGUCGUGAGAUGUUGGGUUAAGUCCCGCAACGAGCGCAACCCUUGUCAUUAGUUGCUACGCAAGAGCACUCUAAUGAGACUGCCGGUGACAAACCGGAGGAAGGUGGGGAUGACGUCAGGUCCUCAUGGCCCUUAUGGGUAGGGCUACACACGUCAUACAAUGGCCGGUACAGAGGGCUGCCAACCCGCGAGGGGGAGCCAAUCCCAGAAAACCGGUCGUAGUCCGGAUCGUAGUCUGCAACUCGACUGCGUGAAGUCGGAAUCGCUAGUAAUCGCGGAUCAGCUUGCCGCGGUGAAUACGUUCCCGGGUCU